Molecule: long non-coding RNA, 315 nt
Filed under: Nicotiana benthamiana
Lineage: Eukaryota; Viridiplantae; Streptophyta; Magnoliopsida; Solanales; Solanaceae
Description: long non-coding RNA (NBEN_LNC036597)
Source: RNAcentral
AGAAAUACAAGCAGCUAAAAUUUCUACUAUUCCAUUUGAUAUCUUCAGAGAUUUUUGAAUUUUUUUCUAAUUCCAAAGCAAUUUUUUGUUAGUUGAGAUAACAAUGGUUUGAGAUCGAGUCUAGUUUAAAGUUUGUUGGAUUUUAUUUACUUGAUUGAAACUGGUUUCUAGAUAAUAGCACAAUAUUUUUUGGGUUUAAAUUGGUGCUGAUACCUUCUUACUGGAUUCUACUGCCCCUAUUGUCUAUGGCUCCUCACCUCUUCUUCUUUUUCUGUAUAUUCCAGGUAUUUUUCAGCCUUAUGGACAUCCCUUGAU